This 488-nucleotide ribosomal RNA is filed under the name uncultured bacterium. Its description in RNAcentral is "bacterial SSU rRNA". It matches the Rfam family "Bacterial small subunit ribosomal RNA", at positions 170 to 653 of the family's 1533-position model. The record is from RNAcentral.
CCGAUGAUGUUCCGGUACAGCAUUGUAAUGGAACCAAAAGCCGUAAGGCGCCUUAGGAUGAACCUGCGUCCCAUUAGGUAGUUGGUGAGGUAACGGCCCACCAAGCCGACGAUGGGUAGCUGGUCUGAGAGGACGAUCAGCCACACUGGAACUGAGACACGGUCCAGACUCCUACGGGAGGCAGCAGUGAGGAAUAUUGCGCAAUGCCCGAAAGGGUGACGCAGCGACGCCGCGUGGAGGAUGAAGGCCCUACGGGUCGUAAACUCCUUUUGUGAGGGAAUAAUUUCUCGCUAUAGGCGAGAUUGAAUGUACCUCAGGAAAAAGCAUCGGCUAACUACGUGCCAGCAGCCGCGGUAAUACGUAGGAUGCUAGCGUUGUCCGGAUUUACUGGGUGUAAAGGGAGCGCAGGCGGGUUGGUAAGUUGGUGGUGAAAUUCUUCGGGCUUAACCCGAGUACUGGCAUCGAUACUGCUAAUCUUUGAGUGCAGA